GUGGGUAGUUUGACUGGGGCGGUCUCCUCCUAAAGAGUAACGGAGGAGCACGAAGGUUGGCUAAUCCUGGUCGGACAUCAGGAGGUUAGUGCAAUGGCAUAAGCCAGCUUGACUGCGAGCGUGACGGCGCGAGCAGGUGCGAAAGCAGGUCAUAGUGAUCCGGUGGUUCUGAAUGGAAGGGCCAUCGCUCAACGGAUAAAAGGUACUCCGGGGAUAACAGGCUGAUACCGCCCAAGAGUUCAUAUCGACGGCGGUGUUUGGCACCUCGAUGUCGGCUCAUCACAUCCUGGGGCUGAAGUAGGUCCCAAGGGUAUGGCUGUUCGCCAUUUAAAGUGGUACGCGAGCUGGGUUUAGAACGUCGUGAGACAGUUCGGUCCCUAUCUGCCGUGGGCGCUGGAGAACUGAGGGGGGCUGCUCCUAGUACGAGAGGACCGGAGUGGACGCAUCACUGGUGUUCGGGUUGUCAUGCCAAUGGCACUGCCCGGUAGCUAAAUGCGGAAGAGAUAAGUGCUGAAAGCAUCUAAGCACGAAACUUGCCCCGAGAUGAGUUCUCCCUGAGACUUUAGGUCUCCUGAAGGAACGUUGAAGA
This 589-nucleotide ribosomal RNA is filed under the name Salmonella enterica subsp. enterica serovar Muenchen. Its description in RNAcentral is "partial 23S ribosomal RNA". It matches the Rfam family "Bacterial large subunit ribosomal RNA", at positions 2261 to 2844 of the family's 2925-position model. The record is from RNAcentral. RNAcentral also lists the same sequence under 3 other names. Lineage: Bacteria; Pseudomonadati; Pseudomonadota; Gammaproteobacteria; Enterobacterales; Enterobacteriaceae.